AUGGUAGUGCAGAAGGUACAGGAAGGUACAGAAGCAAUACCAUGGAAAGCAAGUGAGAAAUAUCCUCAAUUUUGGCAGCUCUUGAGGGAGGAAACUUUGGGCACUCCACAGAAGGGAGGACAUGAAAUAUUACCCCAAAGGGACCGGCAAAGCUCCAGAUAUCUGCCUUCAGGGUCACUCUGGGACACUCUGAAGUCUUACGGCCUCGGAGACUGUUUCCUCGUACAGAGUACCAUAAGGAUGACACUGGAGCUGGAGGUGGCUGGAAGAAUCACCACAUUUACGCUCCCUUCCUCUCUCAGUUGGGUUGGAGAGCACACAUAG
This 324-nucleotide long non-coding RNA is filed under the name Anas zonorhyncha (Eastern spot-billed duck). Its description in RNAcentral is "lncRNA (ENSAZOG00000008259.1)". Lineage: Eukaryota; Metazoa; Chordata; Aves; Anseriformes; Anatidae. The record is from RNAcentral.